Salvelinus sp. IW2-2015 is the source of this 288-nucleotide non-coding RNA. The record is from RefSeq and is a predicted model, not a curated record. NCBI's taxonomy places the organism in Eukaryota, Metazoa, Chordata, Actinopteri, Salmoniformes, Salmonidae.
AAAAAAAACAAGUGGAAUUGUUACCCUGGAACUAGUACCCAACCAGAUUGGCAACACUUGUAAUUUGCCAAUGAGUCGGAUAUCCCAUUUUAAUGUUGGCUGCCCACCAAAUAGACAUAUCCGUGUUGCUAGGCCUUGGGGAAUGCCUUGCGAGAUGCACAGCCUCACCAACUACACCAUUUUAAGGUCUGUACUCAGAGAUCCACAACAAGACGAUAUAGUUGUGCAUUACGACUGGGAGAAAUUUGGAUGUCUACUCAAAACGCACUAUAAAAAUCAAUUUCUCCC